ACACCACACAAUAAUAACCUUGACUUAUUAUUUUUUUGCUUUUGAAUAAAUAAUUACUAACAUUUCAAUACUAUGAACAUAGGGUUUUUUUUUCCCUGACAGCCCUAAUUUCGCGCUCUUUUCUUCACCCCGCUCCCCCUUAAAUAUUUUUACACACACUAUCAGAGGGCAUGUGAGUGUGUGAGCACUGACCUGCCAUGAUCUCCAAAAUACUUAUUGACCAAAAUUGUGUCAAUAAGUAACAAGGCACGGAUUAACAUUUUAAAAAGCACAAGGAAAGAGAGAGGGAAAAAAAAAUCCUUAUUGAUUUCUCUUGCUCUCUAACACACAGCCACGGAAUAAUAAACUGAAUACAGCGUGAAUGGGAUAAAGAGCUGACUAAAGAAUGUGAUACACAUCCCACAUUUCAUCCUAUCAUCUACCAUAUAGAAUCGCUUCCGUCAAAGACGGAGGUAACCGACUACGGAGGUAAAAACAGCUUAUACACAGCAGAUGUGUAAGAAGUGGGUAAGUAAAUCACUCCAACCAACAACAACAAAAAAGUGUGAUUAUGACAUCCCUGCAAAUUAGAGUGACAGAAUAAGGGAACACGGGCCACACACUGUAGGUGGUUAUGCUCAAAUCCACUCAGUGCGACACUGCACACUCAUCUUUCAUUUCCUCUCUAGACAUUCACGCUUUCUGAAUCCGCUUUACCAGUACAAUAUCUCGUCUAUUACAGAGCCUUGUUUUCGCGUUCGUAGUCGUCGGUGUUCAUCCGUUCUGGCUUCCCUUAGCAUGACUUUCCCAUGACAUCAGCCUCGGCCUGCGCAGAUGACUUCUUCAGCUGACCCACUUCCUGCGUGGAUCAGGAAGGCAGCUGUUUCUUUUCAAAGUUAAUCAACUGGGUGUAUAGAAGGAACUGACCAUUUUAGAAACUUAGCACGAGGCCUUUCAAAGACAAAAACAAACCAAAAAAAACCCCCCUGACAUUUAAGAUUUAGAAUCUUAAAUAUAACUCUGGUGGGUUAGUUCCACAUUCAAAUAGUGAACCAAAUCAAAAUGAUGUACUGCUAUUUUUAUUUUAACGAAGUGAGAAAUGAAAAAUGAAUGAAGGGCAAAUCCACCAGGCCUCUGGUUUUAAAAUGUCAGUGUUGAUUAAUUUUCUAUAACAGCAGUAGUUCUGAAUGCAGGGUUUAUAUUAAUGCACUUAUUCCAAUACAUUUUUUUAGUAGCAACGUACACAGCUACUUGUAUCACAGACGCGCCACAUCAACUGAUUAAAAACAUGUGGAAAUGUUGAUAUGGAGAAGUAGGUGUUUAUUUAACAUUUAUGGAAGGAGUCUCCAGUGUCAACUAGGGUUAGAGUCAACUUUAAGUUUUCCACCUGAGUGCUUUGCGUUGUCUGGUUUCUCAAUAACGUGACAAGCUAAAAUUUUUGUCUUCAAGGGAGAGGGGAAAAAAGACUGGUGAGGGCAUGACUAGCCGUUUCACAAUAUGCGUUUUUAUGCGUCCUUGUGCACUUGUUCUACAUCAUCCACCGCUGAAGUUCAAUUCCAAUACUCAAGAAUGCAAGUUUCGGGGACACGUGAAAUUACUCGGACGGGUUCUUGAUAUCGAGGAUGCAUCGGAUGCAGACACGAGCGCAUCGAAUCCGCCUGAAGUCUCAGAAGUCAUUACGACAAAACAAUAGCAGAUGACGGAAGACUGACCCGUAACAUAAGUUUUAACGACAAUGAUCUAAAUAUGCAUCUAAAAAGAAUGAUUUUGAUAUAGGAUUUAGAUUGGGAUAUAUAUGAGGUUGUUGAAAAGUCGAAUUUAUCCCUCAGAAGUAUCUUAAGCUAAGCAAGCUUCCAUCAUGAGUGAACUGUAAACUCCCUGUUAGCUUAGUUUUUAGUUAACAUGAGGUCGCAGCUGCAAACAGUGAGCUUACUGCAUUAAAACGUGCUUGAUUAACCCUUGGUUAAAAUCAGCAAUUUAACAGUAAAUCUAUUAACCAGCUGAAACAUAUUGCUUAGUGAACACUGAAGAUACGAUGGCCCGGUCCCUCUACUAGAAAUGUGCUGGGACGGUCCAUUGUGCAACAGGAAGUUCGCAGCACAUCUCAAUUCUCGCACAGAUUCGUUCACCUGUCCUUCCGAGUUCGUUCUUCCAAGGUAACCUGGCAAGAUCGGUCUUCACGAGAACCCAAGUCCGUUCCUUCGCGUUCUUGGAAUGAAGAUACAGUCACUGUGUACUGCUAUUUACGCAAGUGAUAACAGGAACUACUGUGUUUUGAAAAAACUGCACAUUAAACGUAAACAUAAAUGAAUAAAUAAUACACUGUGUUAGGGCUGGGCGAUACAUUGAUAUAAUAGCGAUAUCAUGAUUAAUGAUUACGUGAUGCACUUUUCUCACAUAUCGUAGGUAUAGAGAUGUUGUUUUUUUUUUAACGCUUUUAACAUUUACAAAUUAAAUGGUACAGAGUGGAUUCUGUGGAUCUGACGUCAUUUAUAUAUUUUUUAUUUAAUAGGCAUUGAAGAAAAUUAUGGUCAAACUCAGUUUAACAUUUUUUUUUUGUUUGUUUAUUUUAUUUUACUACUGUUUUGCAGACACUUUGUUAGCUAAAUUACAUAUCGUGAAUCGCAGAAAUGUCCUCAAGUAUCGCGAUAGGUUAUUUCUGUCGUAUCGCCCCGCCCUACACUGCGUCCUUGUUUAAUGAGUACGGCAGUUAAUCAACUGCACAUGGGGAGCAAAGGGGAGAAAGUCGAAAUCCCUGCAUUUCAUACAACACUACUUAAUGUUCAUUAAGCUUCAACAACAUCUGCAUGCACACCACUGCAUGAAUAUUAGUCAUGAGUUUGGUGGAAUUUUAUAGUGUUUACCUUGGAAACACUAAAUAUAUUUUCAAUUGUUCUCUGGAGCAAAUGAAAUAUGUUUUCAACGUAAAAAAAAACCCAAAAACAACAACCCCAAAACAAAACAGGGCACAUCACAAGCACACACAUGAAAAACCAUUAAUGAGGCUGAACCACCCAUUUAAAUGAUGGUUAUAUAAGCUGGUGUUGUCACUGUUCGUUUGAGUGAACGCCCAAAAGAACCCAAAACCAACUGGUUCCCAAAGGAGCACUGGCAUCCAGCCUUAUGCACGCACGCACACACACACAAUUUCUCAGAUUCUUAAGAAGUUGGCAAUCAUCCAGCCCCUCCCCCUAACAGACCAAUACACCCACGUACAUACACACACACAGUUUGUGGGAGCCUUUCCUUCAGUGGUUAUUGAUUCGGCCUAUUCUGUUCUCGUCUCAUGCAACUCAAAAAACAGACGUGGAGCACUAAGAGCACGCCAUAUAUACAGAUUUCACAAAACCUUUGAGAGCAUAAGAUUUUUCAGCAAAGUAUAAUUUGCUCAGGAAGACUGACUCACUCGCAGUGAUAUGAAUGUUGCAAUAUGCAAAAACUGUGGUGUAACACUACAAUCACACUAGUAAGCAACAAAGCAACAACAGAAUCCUUCAUUAUCAGCUCCCUAGUUCAGUAGUCAGGGCACCGAUCAGGGACUCUGCCAUUUUAAGGCCAAUCACAAAAUCCUUCCAGUCCACUGGAAAAUUUGCUCCCUAAAAAAAACAAAAAAACAAAA
Long non-coding RNA from Ictalurus punctatus (channel catfish), 3598 nucleotides. RefSeq lists it as uncharacterized. The transcript has 2 exons. NCBI's taxonomy places the organism in Eukaryota, Metazoa, Chordata, Actinopteri, Siluriformes, Ictaluridae. The record is from RefSeq and is a predicted model, not a curated record.